AUUGAACGCUGGCGGCAUGCUUUACACAUGCCAGUCGAACGGCAGCACAGGGAGCUUGCUCCUGGGUGGCGAGUGGCGAACGGGUGAGUAAUGUAUCGGAACGUGCCUGGUAGUGGGGGAUAACUACUCGAAAGAGUGGCUAAUACCGCAUGAGAUCUUUGGAUGAAAGCGGGGGACCUUCGGGCCUCGUGCUACUGGAGCGGCCGACAUCAGAUUAGGUUGUUGGUGGGGUAAAGGCCUACCAAGCCUGCGAUCUGUAGCUGGUCUGAGAGGACGACCAGCCACACUGGGACUGAGACACGGCCCAGACUCCUACGGGAGGCAGCAGUGGGGAAUUUUGGACAAUGGGCGCAAGCCUGAUCCAGCAAUGCCGCGUGCAGGACGAAGGCCUUCGGGUUGUAAACUGCUUUUGUACAGAACGAAAAGUCUCUGGCUAAUAUCUAGAGAUCAUGACGGUACUGUAAGAAUAAGCACCGGCUAACUACGUG
Molecule: ribosomal RNA, 488 nt
Filed under: uncultured bacterium
Lineage: Bacteria
Description: partial 16S ribosomal RNA
Rfam family: Bacterial small subunit ribosomal RNA
Source: RNAcentral